RNAcentral lists this ribosomal RNA (74 nucleotides) under uncultured Eubacteriales bacterium. Its description in RNAcentral is "uncultured Clostridiales bacterium partial 16S ribosomal RNA". RNAcentral also lists the same sequence under 1 other name. Lineage: Bacteria; Bacillati; Bacillota; Clostridia; Eubacteriales. The record is from RNAcentral.
AAGGCUUGACAUAUAGUUGAGUUAUUGAGAAAUUGAUAAGUCCCUCGGGACAACUAUACAGGUGGUGCAUGGUU